AACGUAGGAGACGAACGUUAUCCGGAGUUACUGGGCGUAAAGGGCGUGCAGGCGGUCUGAUAAGUUCGGCGUGAAAUAUUCCGGCUUAACCGGGAUAGGUCGUCGGAGACUGUCGGACUAGAGGGUGAUAGAGGCGUGUGGAAUUCCGGGUGUAGUGGUGAAAUGCGUAGAGAUCCGGAGGAACACCAGUGGCGAAGGCGGGUCUCUGGGCCGAUACUGACGCUGAGGAGCGAAAGCGUGGGGAGCGAACAGG
This 253-nucleotide ribosomal RNA is filed under the name uncultured bacterium. RNAcentral describes it as "partial 16S ribosomal RNA". It matches the Rfam family "Bacterial small subunit ribosomal RNA", at positions 524 to 776 of the family's 1533-position model. The record is from RNAcentral.